This 253-nucleotide ribosomal RNA is filed under the name uncultured bacterium. RNAcentral's name for it is "partial 16S ribosomal RNA". It matches the Rfam family "Bacterial small subunit ribosomal RNA", at positions 524 to 776 of the family's 1533-position model. The record is from RNAcentral.
GACGAACCGUCCGAACGUUGUUCGGAAUAACUGGGCUUAAAGGGUGCGUAGGCGGGUCCGGCAGUCUGUGGUGAAAUCCUCCCGCUCAACGGGAGAACUGCCGUGGAUACUGCGGACCUCGAGGAAGAUAGGGGCGUGCGGAACAGUUGGUGGAGCGGUGAGAUGCGUUGAUAUCAACUGGAACUCCGGUGGCGAAGGCGGCGCGCUGGGUCUUUUCUGACGCUGAGGCACGAAAGCUAGGGGAGCAAACGGG